UAGGGAAUCUUCCACAAUGGACGCAAGUCUGAUGGAGCAACGCCGCGUGAGUGAAGAAGGUUUUCGGAUCGUAAGCUCUGUUGUUGGUGAAGAAGGAUAGAGGCAGUAACUGGUCUUUAUUUGACGGUAAUCAACCAGAAAGUCACGGCUAACUACGUGCCAC
RNAcentral lists this ribosomal RNA (163 nucleotides) under uncultured bacterium. RNAcentral describes it as "partial 16S rRNA". It matches the Rfam family "Bacterial small subunit ribosomal RNA", at positions 355 to 511 of the family's 1533-position model. The record is from RNAcentral.